This 1972-nucleotide long non-coding RNA is filed under the name Musa acuminata (dwarf banana). RNAcentral describes it as "long non-coding RNA (MACU_LNC001645)". Lineage: Eukaryota; Viridiplantae; Streptophyta; Magnoliopsida; Zingiberales; Musaceae. The record is from RNAcentral.
AUCGUAUGAGUGGAGCCUCUAGCAAACAGGACUUUAUGGCAACAAAAAGGAUGGAGAGUUCGGGACAGAUGACUUCAGUGAUUACGUACGAGAGCUUGGCGGUCAUCGACGGCAGGCUUUUGUAUGGUAGAAAAUUUACCAAUAAUUGACACGGUUACGUGUUCUUCAAGUUAUCAUCCAUUUAUAAAUAAAAAAUUAAAGUAAAAAAACAAAAACUUUAUUUUCAUUCAUUUUAAUAAAAAAUUUAUUAUGAUAAAAAUGAUAAUCAUAAAUUUUAUAUUCCCUAUUUUUUGGCUCUCCGCAAAGACAUACUUUGAAGUUUCUAGAGUUUGGAGCAUGUCUUUUUUGUCUUUACGUGCUUUGAGCAUUCUUCGUCUCGUAUCUCUAUAGCAGAUUUUAUCGAUCGUGGAUCGAGUUUUCAUACCUCAUGCAUUUCGGGUACUUUUCUUAGUUUGAUUUUUCGCUGUGGUAGAUUUCUUCUUAUGUAGGUUAAGUGUGUCUGACUCACGUACCUUGGGUGCCUUCCUGACCCCUCUUUUUGUUGUAGCGAAUUUCUUCUUAUGCGUGUCGGGAAUGCCUAACUCAUUUGCCUUGGGUGCUUUCAUAGCCCAUUUUUCCGUCAUAGAAGAUUUCUCUUUACACGAGUUAGAUUUGCUCGACUCAUGUGCCUUGGGCACCUUCUUGAUCAGUUUUUCUACUAUAGCAGAUAUCUACUAUUGUGAGUUUUGUUUGCCCAACUCACAUGCCUUGGGUGCCUUCCUAACCCAUUUUUUCGCCAUAGUAGAUUUCUUUUUAUACGGGUUGGGUUUGCCCGACUCGCAUAGUAGAUGUCUUCCUAGCCCGUUUGUUCGCUAUAGCGGAGUUCUUAUAUGGUUCGGGUUUACUCGACUCACAUGUCUUGUUUAAGUAAUCUCGAGGAGGUGCUCUAUCUUGGUCGCGGAAGGUGACUUCUUAGGGGAGUGGAAGUCGGCCUUGCCUUUGAUUGAGGCCAUAUAAUCGUGAGCUAAAUUCCACAUAUGACUAGUAUUUUAAUAAAUAAAUGUGGGAAAAGAGGAGGAGAGAGAGAGAGAGGCGGGCAUCUCAAGGGAGACUCCUCGAUUAACAUUUCAAUGUGGAGGAGAGAGAGAGAUUCCACCAUAUCCUUCUUAGUUAGCACCUUAGCGAUGGGGGAAUAACCCCAUAUUCUCCUACAUCUUAAUAGUGGAUAGGACUAAUUUUUUUUGGUUUCGGCAUCUCAACAGCAGAGUUGUGUCCCUUCCAUGUGAUCUUGAAGGGACAUUUAUAUGAAUCCUAGGAGGAGAGGGGUCAUUAGGCAUUUAUAAACCUCUUUUAGUUGGUUUGAUGGGGCUCAAAGCAUCAUUCGAGCUCUAACCUUGGGAGCCUUCUUCUUGGCUUCGGUUCCAAAAGAGACGAGCCCAUCCUCAAGUCAUCCAAUGCCCGGUCUAUCGCUAGUUGGGCGAAAGAACAAAUAGAAAGCAGCUUCAUAACUUAACGACGAGAUUUAUUAUCGUUUCUUGCAUGUCUCGCAAAAGUAAAAGUAGGCGCGAAUUCUCCCAAUUUGUGACCUACCAUACGAUCUGUUAUAUAAAUAGGUAAAUGUUCCUUUCCAUUAUGAAUAGCGAUUGUAUGGCCAAUCAUUGUGGGUAUAAUGGUAGAUGCCCGAGACCAAGUUACUAUUAUUUCUUUCUCCUCCCUCAUGUUGAGUUUUUCCAUUUUUUCCGAUAAAUGGUUAGCUACAAAAGGGUUUUUUUUCAUAUCAUUCUCGUGUUAGGUCUCUUAAUGUGGUUAGGAAGGUAUAGUAAUUAAGGUAUUCAAGAAGUCAUAUAGGAAAAUCUGACCGUAGAAAGCCAUAAUGUGCUCUAUCAAAUUAACAUUACCGUCGAACGUCUCCGAGGAUAGGAGAUGUAAGCUCCCUGAAAUCAAUUUCUCUUAGAUUCUUCGUUUGGGUGUUGCGCAGAACGUACACAGCGAG